This 253-nucleotide ribosomal RNA is filed under the name uncultured bacterium. Its description in RNAcentral is "partial 16S ribosomal RNA". It matches the Rfam family "Bacterial small subunit ribosomal RNA", at positions 524 to 776 of the family's 1533-position model. The record is from RNAcentral.
UACAGAGGUCCCAAGCGUUGUUCGGAUUCACUGGGCGUAAAGCGCAGGUAGGAGGUUUGGAAAGUCUGUUGUGAAAGCUCCCGGCUUAACUGGGAGAGGUCAACGGAAACUACCAGGCUAGAGUGUGGUAGAGGAAGAUGGAAUUCCCGGUGUAGCGGUGAAAUGCGUAGAUAUCGGGAGGAAUACCUAUGGCGAAAGCAGUCUUCUGGACCAUCACUGACUCUGAUCUGCGAAAGCUAGGGGAGCAAACAGG